CGGGGGGGGGCAAGCGUUGUUCGGAAUUACUGGGCGUAAAGGGCUCGUAGGCGGCCAACUAAGUCGGAUGUGAAAUCCCCCAGGCUCAACCUGGGAACCGCAUCCGAUACUGGAUGGCUUGAAUUCGGGAGAGGGAUGCAGAAUUCCAGGUGUAGCGGUGAAAUGCGUAGAUAUCUGGAGGAAUACCGGUGGCGAAGGCGGCAUCCUGGACCGAGAUUGACGCUGAGGAGCGAAAGCCAGGGGAGCAAACGGGAUUAGAUACCCCGGUAGUCCCGGCCCUAAACGAUGAAUGCUUGGUGUGACGGGUAUCGAUCCCUGUCGUGCCGAAGCUAACGCAUUAAGCAUUCCGCCUGGGGAGUACGGUCGCAAGGCUG
This 374-nucleotide ribosomal RNA is filed under the name uncultured organism. Its description in RNAcentral is "bacterial SSU rRNA". It matches the Rfam family "Bacterial small subunit ribosomal RNA", at positions 525 to 896 of the family's 1533-position model. The record is from RNAcentral.